CUACGGGUCGCUGCAGUGGGGAAUAUUGCACAAUGGGGGAAACCCUGAUGCAGCAACGCCGCGUGGAGGAUGACGCAUUUCGGUGUGUAAACUCCUUUUAUCAAGGAAGAAAUUUGACGGUACUUGAUGAAUAAGCACCGGCUAACUCCGUGCCAGCAGCCGCGGUAAUACGGAGGGUGCAAGCGUUACUCGGAAUCACUGGGCGUAAAGGACGCGUAGGCGGUUUGAUAAGUUGGAUGUGAAAUCCUAUGGCUUAACCAUAGAACUGCAUCCAAAACUGUUAAACUAGAAUGAGGGAGAGGUCAGUGGAAUUAGUGGUGUAGGGGUAAAAUCCGUAGAGAUCACUAGGAAUACUCAUAGCGAAGGCGACUGACUGGAACUUUAUUGACGCUGAGGCGUGAAAGCAUGGGGAGCAAACAGGAUUAGAUACCCCCGUAGUC
This 440-nucleotide ribosomal RNA is filed under the name uncultured bacterium. RNAcentral's name for it is "partial 16S ribosomal RNA". It matches the Rfam family "Bacterial small subunit ribosomal RNA", at positions 339 to 795 of the family's 1533-position model. The record is from RNAcentral.